UGGUAGCAAUACCGGAGGAAGUUUAGUGGCGAACGGGUGCGUAACACGUGGGCAAUCUGCCGAGAAGUGGGGGAUAGCUCGCCGAAAGGCGAAUUAAUACCGCAUGUGAUCAGGGGAGACAUCUCUCUGAAAUUAAAGCCGGGGCAACCUGGCGCUUCUUGAUGAGCCCGCGGCCUAUCAGCUAGUUGGUGAGGUAACGGCUCACCAAGGCUUUGACGGGUAGCUGGUCUGAGAGGACGACCAGCCACACUGGAACUGAGACACGGUCCAGACACCUACGGGUGGCAGCAGUCGAGAAUUUUUCUCAAUGGGGGAAACCCUGAAGGAGCGACGCCGCGUGGAGGAUGAAGGCUUUCGGGUUGUAAACUCCUGUCAUUUGGGAACAAUGCCUAUUAGUUAACUGCUAGCAGGUUGAUAGUACCAGAAGAGGAAGAGACGGCUAACUCUGUGCCAGCAGCCGCGGUAAUACAGAGGUCUCAAGCGUUGUUCGGAUUCAUUGGGCGUAAAGGGUGCGUAGGUGGCGCGCUAAGUCAGGUGUGAAAUUUCGGAGCUUAACUCCGAAACUGCAUUUGAUACUGGCGUGCUUGAGGACUGGAGAGGAGACUGGAAUUCUCGGUGUAGCA
Molecule: ribosomal RNA, 623 nt
Filed under: uncultured Verrucomicrobiota bacterium
Lineage: Bacteria; Pseudomonadati; Verrucomicrobiota
Description: bacterial SSU rRNA
Rfam family: Bacterial small subunit ribosomal RNA
Source: RNAcentral